UAAUGAUGUUAAUCUGGUCUAACCCCAGACAGUGGGUUGUUAAUGGCGUUAAUCUGGUCUAACUCCAGACAGUGGGUUAUUAAUGACGUUAAUCUGGUCUAACCCCAGACAGUGGGUUAUUAAUGACGUUAAUCUGGUUUUACUCCAGACAGUGGGUUAUUAAUGACGUUAAUCUGGUCUAACUCCAGACAGAGGCAUAUUAAUGACGUUAAUCUGGUCUAACUCCAGACAGUGGGUUAUUAAUGUCGUUAAUCUGGUCUAACUCCAGACAGUGGGAUAUUAAUCUGGUCUAACCCCAGACAGUGAGUUGUUAAUCUGGUCUAACUCCAGACAGUGAGUUAUUAAUCUGGUCUAACCCCAGACAGUGGGUUAUUAAUGACGUUAAUCUGGUCUAACUCCAGACAGUGGGAUAUUAAUCUGGUCUAACCCCAGACAGUGGGUUAUUAAUGACGUUAAUCUGGUCUAACUCCAGACAGUGGGUUAUUAACGCCGUUAAUCUGGUCUAACUCCAGACAGUGGGUUAUUAAUGACGUUAAUCUGGUCUAACUCCAGACAGUGGGUUGUUAAUCUGGUCUAAUUCCAGAAGUGGGUUAUUAAUGCCGUUAAUCUGGUCUAACUCCAGACAGUGGGUUGUUAAUCUGGUCUAACUCCAGACAGUGGGUUAUUAAUGACGUUAAUCUGGUCUAAUUCCAGACAGUGGGUUAUUAAUCUGGUCUAACUCCAGACAGUGGGUUAUUAAUGACGUUAAUCUGGUCUAAUUCCAGACAGUGGGUUAUUAAUGCCGUUAAUCUGGUCUAAUUCCAGAUGGGUUAUUAACGCCGUUAAUCUGGUCUAACUCCAGACAGUGGGUUAUUAAUCUGGUCUAAUUCCAGAUGGGUUAUUAAUGCCGUUAUCUGGUCUAACUCCAGACAGUGGGUUAUUAAUGCCGUUAAUCUGGUCUAACUCCAGACAGUGGGUUAUUAACGCUGUUAAUCUGGUCUAAUUCCAGAUGGGUUAUUAACGCCGUUAAUCUGGUCUAACUCCAGACAGUGGGUUAUUAAUCUGGUCUAAUUCCAGAUGGGUUAUUAAUGCCGUUAUCUGGUCUAACUCCAGACAGUGGGUUAUUAACGCUGUUAAUCUGGUCUAACUCCAGACAGUGGGUUAUUAAUCUGGUCUAACUCCAGACACUGGCUCCUACCCACACUACUAUUACCCUGUAGACCAGUCCUGCUGUAGGCCGUGGUAAAUUGUGUGAUCUGCUUGACACGAGUUGCUUGGGGGAAACUGCAGCGCUCCUUGGCUACCUGCCAACCACCCUGAUCACACGUACAUUUUAAAAAGGGUAGGAACCUGUCCUGUCCACAAACUCUGAGAGAUAGGAGAGCUGGGCUUGAAGAGAAGGGGAGGUGGCAUCUGAAAACAAUCUACAGACCAACCAACAAGUCAUUCUACAAUAAAGGCACUGAAACGAGUCACUACUCAAAGCAUUAAGCCCCGAAACAAGUCACUACUCAAAGCAUUAAGCCCCGAAACAAGUCACUACUCAAAGCAUUAAGCCCCGAAACAAGUCACUACUCAAAGCAUUAAGCCCCGAAACAAGUCACUGCUCAAAGCAUUAAGCCCUGAAACAAGUCACUACUCAAAGCAUUAAGCCCUGAAACAAGUCACUACUCAAAGCAUUAAGCCCUGAAACAAGUCACUACUCAAAGCAUUAAGCCCCGAAACAAGUCACUACUCAGUACUCAAAGCAUUAAGCCCCGAAACAAGUCACUACUCAAAGCAUUAAGCCCCGAAACAAGUCACUACUCAAAGCAUUAAGCCCCGAAACAAGUCACUACUCAGUACUCAAAGCAUUAAGCCCCGAAACAAGUCACUACUGAGUACUCAAAGCAUUAAGCCCCGAAACAAGUCACUACUCAAAGCAUUAAGCCCCGAAACAAGUCACUACUCAAAGCAUUAAGCCCCGAAACAAGUCACUACUCAAAGCAUUAAGCCCUGAAACAAGUCACUACUCAAAGCAUUAAGCCCCGAAACAAGUCACUACUCAAAGCAUUAAGCCCCGAAACAAGUCACUACUCAAAGCAUUAAGCCCUGAAACAAGUCACUACUCAAAGCAUUAAGCCCUGAAACAAGUCACUACUCAGUACUCAAAGCAUUAAGCCCCGAAACAAGUCACUACUCAAAGCAUUAAGCCCCGAAACAAGUCACUACUCAAAGCAUUAAGCCCUGAAACAAGUCACUACUCAGUACUCAAAGCAUUAAGCCCCGAAACAAGUCACUACUCAAAGCAUUAAGCCCUGAAACAAGUCACUACUCAAAGCAUUAAGCCCCGAAACAAGUCACUACUCAAAGCAUUAAGCCCUGAAACAAGUCACUACUCAGUACUCAAAGCAUUAAGCCCCGAAACAAGUCACUACUCAAAGCAUUAAGCCCUGAAACAAGUCACUACUCAGUACUCAAAGCAUUAAGCCCCGAAACAAGUCACUACUCAAAGCAUUAAGCCCCGAAACAAGUAACUACUCAAAGCAUUAAGCCCCGAAACAAGUCACUACUCAAAGCAUUAAGCCCCGAAACAAGUCACUACUCAAAGCAUUAAGCCCCGAAACAAGUCACUACUCAAAGCAUUAAGCCCUGAAACAAGUCACUACUCAGUACUCAAAGGAUUAAGCCCCGAAACAAGUCACUACUCAAAGCAUUAAGCCCUGAAACAAGUCACUACUCAAAGCAUUAAGCCCCGAAACAAGUCACUACUCAAAGCAUUAAGCUCCGAAACAAGUCACUGCUGAGUACUCAAAGCAUUAAGCCCCGAAACAAGUCAGUAGUCAAAGCAAUAAGCCCCGAAACAAGUCACUACUGAAAGCAUUAAGCCCUGAAACAAGUCACUACUCAGUACUCAAAGCAUUAAGCCCUGAAACAAGUCACUACUCAGUACUCAAACCAUUAAGCCCCGAAACAAGUCAGUACUCAAAGCAUUAGGCACGACUCGGUACUCUCUCUUUCUGCUAACCAUAAACCAUGUUUUAGGAUUAGCAGAAAGCAGGGGAGGUCAAUUCCAUUUCAAUAUCAGUCAAUUCAGAAAGUAAACCAAAUUCCAAUUCCACAUUUUCCUCAUUGAAAAGCAAUAAAGAGAAUAGGAUUUUGAAUCGAAAUCUCAGUUAACUUCCUGAAUUGACGCCAACCCUGGCAUAAACAUGUUGUUUCAAACAAAACAGUCUAAUGAAUGAAUCAAUCUGAACAGGCACUGUGUUAUGAGUCAGUCUCUAAUGAAUCAGUCUCUAAUGAAUCAGUCUCUAAUGAAUCAGUCUCUAAUGAAUC
RNAcentral lists this long non-coding RNA (3294 nucleotides) under Salmo salar (Atlantic salmon). RNAcentral describes it as "lncRNA (ENSSSAG00000101571.1)". Lineage: Eukaryota; Metazoa; Chordata; Actinopteri; Salmoniformes; Salmonidae. The record is from RNAcentral.